Molecule: non-coding RNA, 184 nt
Filed under: Gossypium hirsutum (cotton)
Lineage: Eukaryota; Viridiplantae; Streptophyta; Magnoliopsida; Malvales; Malvaceae
Description: Bacterial large subunit ribosomal RNA
Rfam family: Bacterial large subunit ribosomal RNA
Source: Rfam by way of RNAcentral
ACUGUUCCCUGGGAUUGGCUUUGGGCUUUUCCUGCGCAGCUUAGGUGGAAGGCGAAGAAGGCCUCCUUCCGGGGGGCCCGAGCCAUCAGUGAGAUACCACUCUGAAAGAGCUAGGAUUCUAACCUUGUGUCAGGACCUAUGGGCUAAGGGGCAGUCUCAGGUAGACAGUUUCUAUGGGGCGUGU